Molecule: ribosomal RNA, 776 nt
Filed under: uncultured Neocallimastigales
Lineage: Eukaryota; Fungi; Neocallimastigomycota; Neocallimastigomycetes; Neocallimastigales
Description: partial large subunit ribosomal RNA
Rfam family: Eukaryotic large subunit ribosomal RNA
Source: RNAcentral
CGCAUCUGUGCAUGCAGCAUAUCAAUAAGCGGAGGAAAAGAAACUAACAAGGAUUCCCUUAGUAACGGCGAGUGAAGCGGGAAGAGCUCAAAUUUGAAAUCUUAAAGGGUUUCCCUUUACGAAUUGUAGUUUAAAGAAGUGUUUUCUGUUGAAGUUUUGGUAAAAGUUCUUUGGAAUAGGACAUCAUAGAGGGUGAGAAUCCCGUAUUUGACCAUUAUUUUCAGCUGUGUGAUACACUUUCAAAGAGUCGGAUUGUUUGGGAAUGCAGUCCAAAAUGGGUGGUAAAUUUCAUCUAAAGCUAAAUAUUGGCGAGAGACCGAUAGCGAACAAGUACCGUGAGGGAAAGAUGAAAAGAACUUUCGAAAAGAGAGUUAAACAGUACGUGAAAUUGUCAAAAGGGAAGCGUUUGACACCAGUGUUGUUUUCUCGAAAAUCAAUUAAAAAGAGUUAGAUUUUGUUGUGUAUUGACCUUAACAGCUUGCAUUUCAAUUUUCUUGCUUUUUUUAAUGCACUUUUCGUUUAACAAGUCAACAUCAGUUUCUUUUGUUGUAAAAAGGUCAUUGGAAGGUGGCUUUCUUUUCGGAGAAAGUGUUUAUAGCCUUUGACUCCUGCAAUCGGAGAGAACUGAGGUCUGCAGCGUAGAUCCUUCGGGGUUAGAUACAUUUUGUGCUAAGUUAUAGCUUUUUAUAGACAACUUGUUGACUAUGAUUAGUCUUGUAGCUUACUCGCUUAUGUUAUUUUACCUACGCUUAGGAUGUUGAUGUGAUACUGCGAGC